Molecule: long non-coding RNA, 542 nt
Filed under: Aquilegia coerulea
Lineage: Eukaryota; Viridiplantae; Streptophyta; Magnoliopsida; Ranunculales; Ranunculaceae
Description: long non-coding RNA (ACOE_LNC001123)
Source: RNAcentral
UUCAUGCUAAGUCCAGAUCCACCAAAAGUAUCAGGUUCGGCAUGCUUUACUCUUCCAAAGUGGCGGACAUGACGCAAAAGCCUAGCCAGGAAUGGGUUAUGGCAUAUGGUUGAGCUAUCACACACAAUAGUAACAUGUUUGCGUGCUCUGGUUAUAGCAACAUUCAUUCGCCUAUUGUCACCUAAGAAUCCAACUGCUCCCAGACUGUUUGAUCGAACCUACAUGAAGAAGAACUAUAUGUGACCUUCAAAUAUAAUAAAUUCAUAGACAAGUUCAUGAUAUGAUUGUAAUAAUAUGUAUUAUACAGGCUCGGCAUGCUUUACUCUUCCAAAGUGGCGGACAUGACGCAAAAGCCUAGCCAGGAAUGGGUUAUGGCAUAUGGUUGAGCUAUCACACACAAUAGUAACAUGUGACAUAUAAAAUAUGGUACCUACGUUGACACGCUGAACAGACACCACAGAAUGUAGACAUAUAACAAGUUACUAAAUGUGUCAGAUUAGAUUGAUUGGAAUUUAGGUUAGUUUACUUUUUCAUAAAUCAAC